RNAcentral lists this ribosomal RNA (800 nucleotides) under uncultured bacterium. RNAcentral's name for it is "bacterial SSU rRNA". It matches the Rfam family "Bacterial small subunit ribosomal RNA", at positions 8 to 800 of the family's 1533-position model. The record is from RNAcentral.
AGAGUUUGAUCCUGGCUCAGAACGAACGCUGGCGGCGUGUUUAAGACAUGCAAGUCGCACGGAGUCAUUUGUGUAGCAAUACUUGAAUGGCUUAGUGGCGCACGGGUGAGUAACAUGUGAAUUACAUGCCCUAUAGUGGGGAAUAGCCCAGGGAAACUUGGAUUAAUACCCCAUGGUCUCGCAAGAGUAAAGGUGGCCGCAAGGCUGUCGCUAUAGGAUUGGUUCGCACCCUAUCAGCUUGUUGGUGAGGUAACGGCUCACCAAGGCUACGACGGGUACCUGGUCUGAGAGGACGAUCAGGCACACUGGAACUGAGACACGGUCCAGACACCUACGGGUGGCAGCAGUCGAGAAUAAUUCACAAUGGGGGCAACCCUGAUGGUGCAACGCCGCGUGGAGGAUGAAGGUCUUCGGAUUGUAAACUCCUGUCAUCUGGGAGUAAGACCUGGUCGUUAAUAGCGGACAGGGUUGAUAGUACCAGAAGAGGAAGGGACGGCUAACUUCGUGCCAGCAGCCGCGGUAAUACGAAGGUCCCGAGCGUUGUUCGGAAUCACUGGGCGUAAAGGGAGCGUAGGCGGCGUGGUAAGUCAGAUGUGAAAUCCCGGGGCUCAACCCCGGAACUGCAUCCGAUACUGCCGUGCUAGAGGAUUGGAGAGGUAGCUGGAAUUCUUGGUGUAGCAGUGAAAUGCGUGGAUAUCAAGAGGAACACUCGUGGCGAAAGCGAGCUACUGGACAACUCCUGACGCUGAGGCUCGAAGGCCAGGGUAGCGAAAGGGAUUAGAUACCCCUGUAGUCCUGGC